Molecule: long non-coding RNA, 780 nt
Filed under: Marmota monax (woodchuck)
Lineage: Eukaryota; Metazoa; Chordata; Mammalia; Rodentia; Sciuridae
Source: RNAcentral
CAUGCACUCAGGGGCAGAGGUACCGGGUUCAACGGUCUCGUCAUUUUUCCUGCAUCUGACAGGGUAGAGCAUCGGUGUGCUGAUGGGGCCACCAUAGCCAAGUACCACGGGCAGAGUGGCUUCACCAGAAAACUCGUCUCCCAGUCCUGGUGACUGAAGGCCUGAAACUGAGGUGUGGGCAGGUGGGUCCCCCGAGGCUCUCCUCGGCUGGCUGCUGCUGUGUCUCCACAUGGCCUUUCUGCUGUGCACCACGCUCCUGGUGUCCCCACGUGCCCCGAUCCCCUCUUCUAUCAGGACACCAGUGAGCUCAUUUCAACUUAAUUAGCUCUUUAAAGAUCCUGCCCCCAGAUGAGGUCACAAUCUGAGGUCCCAGGGAUUAGGACCCUGACAUCAGGGUUUACGAAGGACACAGUUCAACCAGCCACAGAUGGGUUGGGGACAAGUCAAAGUAGGAUCCCAAACUUUCUUAGGGGCCAAGUUCUCCUCUGAGCCCCCAAACUUCUCCUUCACCCUCUGCUUCCGGUGAAAUGUUCACUCACCCAGAGCAAAACUGUCCCCAAGCGAGAGCUGAGGAGGCUGUGGCUUCUCCCAGCUGCAUCAACAGGAGCGUGUGACAGGAGCACAGGGAGAACAGUGCCUGGGCCCAGCGCCGCUCAGACGCUGGCCGUGCUCUGGCUCCCAGCAAAGGGCACCACGGCGCUCAGUCUCCUUCUCACGGGGCAGGAGAGAGACUGGACAUCCCCAAAGCCACCCCUCACCCGACAGGCCUUGACACCUGCC